CACGUAGGCGGACUGGAAAGUUGGAGGUGAAAUCCCAGGGCUCAACCUUGGAACUGCCUUCAAAACUAUCAGUCUGGAGUUCGAGAGAGGUGAGUGGAAUUCCGAGUGUAGAGGUAAAAUUCGUAGAUAUUCGGAGGAACACCAGUGGCGAAGGCGGCUCACUGGCUCGAUACUGACGCUGAGGUGCGAAAGUGUGGGGAGCAAACA
RNAcentral lists this ribosomal RNA (207 nucleotides) under uncultured bacterium. Its description in RNAcentral is "partial 16S ribosomal RNA". It matches the Rfam family "Bacterial small subunit ribosomal RNA", at positions 568 to 774 of the family's 1533-position model. The record is from RNAcentral.